CCUACGUGUGGCAGCAGUGGGGAAUAUUGGACAAUGGGCGAAAGCCUGAUCCAGCCAUGCCGCGUGUGUGAAGAAGGCCUUCGGGUUGUAAAGCACUUUCAGUGGGGAAGAAAGCCUUGGGGCUAAUACCCUCGAGGAAGGACAUCACCCACAGAAGAAGCACCGGCUAACUCCGUGCCAGCAGCCGCGGUAAUACGGAGGGUGCGAGCGUUAAUCGGAAUUACUGGGCGUAAAGCGCGCGUAGGCGGUCUGAUAAGCCGGUUGUGAAAGCCCCGGGCUCAACCUGGGAACGGCAGCCGGAACUGUCAGGCUAGAGUGCAGGAGAGGAAGGUAGAAUUCCCGGUGUAGCGGUGAAAUGCGUAGAGAUCGGGAGGAAUACCAGUGGCGAAGGCGGCCUUCUGGACUGACACUGACGCUGAGGUGCGAAAGCGUGGGUAGCAAACAGGAUUAGAUACCCCAGUAGUC
This 465-nucleotide ribosomal RNA is filed under the name Vreelandella stevensii. Its description in RNAcentral is "partial 16S ribosomal RNA". It matches the Rfam family "Bacterial small subunit ribosomal RNA", at positions 338 to 795 of the family's 1533-position model. The record is from RNAcentral. Lineage: Bacteria; Pseudomonadati; Pseudomonadota; Gammaproteobacteria; Oceanospirillales; Halomonadaceae.